Molecule: long non-coding RNA, 1005 nt
Filed under: Gallus gallus (chicken)
Lineage: Eukaryota; Metazoa; Chordata; Aves; Galliformes; Phasianidae
Description: long non-coding RNA NONGGAT008883
Source: RNAcentral
CCGCCCUCUCCGCGUCGCGGCGGUCUGAGGAAUGAGCGUCUUCCGGGUGGCCGCCGCCGCUUCCACUCAGGCUCCGGCGGGUGGGCAGCAGAGCGAGGCUGCCGGCGCGGUCUCCGCAAGGAGAGCGGAGUGAAUGACCGAGGACAGCGGCGCGGAGAGGUAGCCCCGGGAUCAAGAUGCAGGCGCCCGCCAGCAUCCUCAACCUCCUGCUGCUGUCCUUGCUGGCCGGCCUCGAUCAUUCCAAGUGAGAAUAUAACAAAAGCAGGAGGUGAUACAGAAUUAAUAACAUCAGUUGAUAAAGAAUUACAUCUACAUGUUUUUGAACUGCAGCUACCGACAGUACCAGCUAUUGCUGUGUUCUGCAGAGACUUACCAGGCAAUGCACAGGACAUGUGUCAACAGGAACACAUGGGCACAUUACUGUAUCACAGGUUUCCCCAGUCAUUUUUCUAUCAUCAGUUGCACUUGGAUCUAUUAAAGUCAAAGAGACUGCCUGAAAGCAGACCAAAAACAACAACAAAAAAAAACCAAAACAAACAAACAAAAAAAAAACCACCAACAAAAACUGAAUGAAGACUAAAACACUGAUGAAGAAAACCAGCUUCAGCUGACAGAAAUCUGCUUAGCUCAUGUGUCAGAGCGAUGUCCCAAAAUAACAGGGGGAAGACAUGCUCCAUCUAAUAUGUCUGUCACUGACCAGCACUGAAAAAUCAGGAUGAACCACUACAACCAAAUCUGAUUACUUGUCUUUGAAACUUCGCUUCUAGUCCUUUUUGGCAUGGCGUCUGGUGUCCAAAGGGUGUUAGAAAGGCCUUUUAUUCAUCUUGAGGUGAGACAUCUUCAGGGAUAUUAAAACGCUAAUUGCAUGCCCUUUUAACUCUGUGAAGAAGCCGUGAGCCAGGAAGAUCUAAAGUCCUUAAGAAUAUGUAAAAAUGUGAGCCCUUAAUCAAAGUCUGCUGUUUAUUGGAGCUAAACUGGGUUUUCAGAAAUAAAAUAAAUGAGAGA